Molecule: long non-coding RNA, 4923 nt
Organism: Ctenopharyngodon idella (grass carp)
Lineage: Eukaryota; Metazoa; Chordata; Actinopteri; Cypriniformes; Xenocyprididae
Exons: 2
Source: RefSeq, a predicted model, not a curated record
AGCAUUAAGUGUAUGUCACAUACAGUGAAAUGUGACAAAAAAAGGCCAAAAUAUAUUUUAAAUAUGUGCUAAAUAUAUGUUGUACAUAGAGAUGCACCGAUAUAUCGGUCAAUAAUCGGUAUCGGCCAAUAAAAGCAAAUUUUCUAGCCGAUAGCUUAAAAACAACCGACAGUCAGAGCCGAUAUAUCCUGUCAAUCAAAAAUGGGCAGGAAAAUGCACUGAAUUUGGGCUUUGUAUAGAGAAAAUGCUAAGAAGCCAGUUUGAUGUUCAAUAUUAGUAGUAAUUAUAUGAAUUAAUAACAUUAGGAAAGUUAAGAAAUAAUAAUUUAAUCUUCAGAAUUUAGUUAAUGUGUGUUAAUAUUAAUUUGAGUAAUGUGUUUGUUUAUAACUGAUACCAGUUACUCUGAAACAAGUUGAUGAAAUGGAGAGAAUAAAGUUUUUAUUUGCAUUUCUUUCAAAGAAAGAGAAAUAUAAUGAUGAAUUAUUAAUAAUAAUGAAAUUAUCAUUACCCCCGAACUAUGUAUCGGUAUCGGCAGAUAUCACUCUGAAUAAUCGGCUAUCGGUAUCGGUGGAGAAAUUUAGUAUCGGUGCAUCUCUACUUGUAAACUGUUAAGUUCAAUGAAAUAUAUUUUUGAAAUUGAAAAUAUAUUUCGUUUUAGCCUUCAUAGAUCAAAAUAUACAGGCUAAAUGCAAUGUGGAUGGAGAUCAAAACUAGUAUCCAAAUGAAAAUUUAUAAUGAAAAAUGUGUUUAUAGUAUCGUUUAUAGUAGAGAGAACUUUUUUAUUGAAUUGUGUUGAAAUGUUCAUGCGUUACAGACAUCAAUUAAAGCUUUUUUUUUUUUUUUAAAUGUGACAAAUGUGAAAGUAUUUUCUUGGAUUGAAAUAUAAUAUGAAGGGCAAAUAUAAUGCCUUUAUUAUUCUAUUAAAAUAUAUUUUCAAAAAACUAUUCAUAGAAAAUAUAUUUAUAUAAAUACAUAGUAGCAAUUUUUUGGCUAUAUAUAUUUGGCUAUAUAGCUGCUGUGCAGUUUAGUCCAUGCAGUAAAAUCCUUUUUUUUUAAAUAUAUUUUUAAAUAUAGACCUCAUCACGCUUAUGAAAAUAAAAACAACAAUCCAAACUAUACAACAGUAAAAAACAAAGUUUUUUGCAAUGUAAAUACUUUUACUGUCUUCCCAGUGCCACAGCACGUUUCUCCAGAGCAUUUGUUGACAGUAAAUAGCCUCUCUUGGCAAUCUCUUUGCCCCCGGGAUAUGAAAUAGGUGACACAUUACCUCUCAGACAGACGGCAGGGAUUGCGGUGAGAGGACUUGGUCCUUUAAUGUGGAGCAUGAGUUUGAUCUGAGCAAUCCCACCACACCCCAAAUCUCCCCAUUUAGCCCCUACUUCCAUUUUUAUUGUUAACACACAAUGGGUUUGCUGUGUCAACCUCAGCCAAUAACCUUAUCAACAUGUGCAAUGCAAAUAAAUGACCUAGCUGGGCCAUUUUUGUUCUGCGUUUUGAAGUUUAAAAACAUGAAUAUGCUUGUGUUGAAAUGUAGGAAAGGAUUUCACUUCUGAGUGAUGUUUGUGCUGCUUUCUUCCCGUAAAAAAACAAUGUCACUUCCUGACAUCAUCAUUAUUGUGAAAUUGGCUUUUAUUACUUCAAUGGAAUACAUUGCAAAUAGCUAUCAGGGUAUGAAAGUGAUAUUGGAGACAGGGAAAUGGAUAAAUUAAAACAAUGUUUUGUUUGAAACAUUUUGAUUAGAGAGGUUAAACUAAUAUGAUUUCCAUCUUGAAAAAUAUUCCAUUUUCAUAUUGCAUUUACUAUUAGACAUGUAAAACGGGAGCGAAGAUGGAAUUACCCUUAUAGCUGACCUAUAUUUAUGACUUGAUAAAAGUACUGUUUGUACAGAUCCGCUUGUAAAAACAAGUCUGCUUUUGUUACUGGCAGUGGAGACUGCAUGCAUGAGCUAUCUCUGGGCAGAAACAUGUGGCAUGUGGGGAGUGUAUUCACUCUUCAUCUAUAAACAGGUUUUUCAAGCUCAGGCAGGUUGACGGAAACAAAAGAGACUCAUUGUGAGAGGCAAGAGGGUGAAAACCUGUUGAAGAGUUGAUUCGGGCUCUCAUUAUAGCAUUUACACAUCAAUGGAAAGAGCCAGUCAGCUGGAAGAUGAUUUGAAGUAGUUUGUUUGCUAUAUAUGACAAAAUAUAGAGAUUGAAAGAUACUGUAAAUAAUAGAAAACAGUUAUUUUAUUUGUUUAUUUUUUUUUUUUUUUAAAAGCCCAACCCAAGAAGAAUGUGGAGCACAGAAACUUCGCACAGUAUAGUUUGAAUCUGGAUGAUUCUAAAUUACUGUUACAUUCGUUGAUGUUUUAAGGCAACAGUACAGACCCUAAAUAAUAACAUUUCUUGGUUAUAUGUUGUUAUUUUAGUUCUUUACUACCCUAUAAAGCUAAAAGAGGAGAUUUCCACCACUUAUAAAAUAUUUUGUCAGCCACAUAUGGUAAAAGUUAGCUACCGUUACUUUUUUUUUUUUUUUUUUACAUUUUUUUAACAUAUCUGAUAUACUAUUAUUUAACCUACAUUGUUUUUCUUGAAAUUUUGUUUCUCAUUUAGGGUCAUGAACAUGCAUUUCAACAUGCUGAUGUGUUGUGAAAUGUGCAUACAGAAAUUGUAUACGUUCGUACUGUUCGUGGGUCAGUUUGGCCCGUAUAGACAGCUGUUCAAAAUCAACUACAGACACAAAAUACUAAACACUUCUGUGUUGUAUGUCUGAACUCCUCAGCUCUAGUCCUGAAGUGCCAGUGUCUUACUGAGUUUAACAACCUUUUAUUUUCAAAGUUUGUGAAAAUAUAAAGUUGUUUUACCCGUUAACUGUCUGUCCCACUUUUUGAGCAUAGAUAUGACUUUUCUAACUUAAAUUGUUAAAAAUCUUGAUCAGACUGAAGUUUGGUAUCUUUUUAAAGGCAACACUUCACAGAUUAUUGUAGAAGUAACAAAAAGUUGUAAAUGUUCAACUCUAAAACUUCGAGAAAAGCAAAGCUUAAUAUUUAAACAAGUUCUGUGCUGAAUUUUAGGUUAUCUGAAAAAAAAAACAAAAAAACAACUUUCAGUAAGAUGUUUUGUGCGCAGUACCAAACUUCUCCACUAGAUGACAUCCAGACUCCACCGAUGACCAUAUAAGGACUCUUCAGUUUGCAUUUGGUUUGAGUGAUCUGAACCAUAUAUUUCCAUACUUUUCAAAAUAUAUAUGAAGUAGACUUCCUAUUCAGAAGAAGUUUUGGCAGUAAUGUUAAUAUCUGAUUUAAAUUCAAUGUGUUAUAGUUUGGCACCACAUCACAAAUGAAGAAUCUAUCGCUAUUUAUCUAUUGCUCUGUCAUUUCUUUUGAGAAUCAGUCACCAAAUAUGAAAACUAGAGUCAGAAAGCUUUCAAAUGAUAUAUAUAUAUAUAAUAGUGGUUAAAAACAUUUUUAUAAAUCAUAAAUUCGUAUAUUUAUUCUUUGUAGUGUGUGAAUAAAGUAUUGAUAUUAAAAGUUAAUCAUGAUUGUGUGUUUUUUUUUCAUAGUGUGAUUUUUGGGGAAUUGUAUUGAAUCCAAUUAGGGUGAAUUUGGCCCGGACCAUACAGGCUGUAACCAGAAAUCAAACAGUUCAUGAGGGUUAAACUUCAAAAAGAUACAUAUAUUUAUGUGUUCUUUAAGGCCUGCUUCAGUAUACUACGUUAAGUUAAACAAGCAUUUAAAAAUGUAACUUGCUUGAUGUCUGGUUACAUGUGCUUCAUAAUCUGAGGUUUUUUUUUUUGUACUGUUACUUUUGUAACAUUACCCUCAUUACAGUUAUAUGGCACAGGUUUUAUAGGCCUAUGUGUAAUGUUUGUCUUAAUUGCACCCAAGUUUGUCUUGUUAAUCGAAUCCAGACUGUGUCUGACAACACAAACCAGUCACCUCAUAUCUUCUAUGAUCUUUUGUACUGAAAACACACAGAAGGCGAUCCUUAUAAAAUGAGAUGACUAAGAUCUAAGAUUCAUGAUCUACAAAAAAUUUGUCUAAUCAAUUGAUUCCAAAAAGUAUCAAUUCUUCAAUACCAAGGCGCUCGGGAAUCGAGAAUCAAUUCCAAAAUCAGGAGUCCAAUGUUAACUUGUUUCGAUGCAUCAGUAUUUUUGAGUGGAUUUGAGGGAAAAUUUAUAGAAUUGGGUAAAAGGAGAAUUAUAACACUAUUCCAGACUAGACUCAUAGUUACUGAGAGAGCAAGAGUAAUACUGACAUCUAGUGUCUAAAUUGCAUUAUAAACAAUCACCAAGGAUUGUUGUGGCAGAUUUAGUAGUUUAUGCCUACAUGAAGUUUACAGACUUGAAUUUGAUUUACAAUAAUCCUAAAUUGAUAUUAAAUUUAAUUUGGUAUUGGCAUUUCAAUCACAAAACCCCGGAGAUCCAAUCUGAGCCCCUCGCAAACCCCUGAUUUGGAAACCUUGAUCUAGAGGAUUAAAGGACUAAAUGAUCUUGAGCAAUAUUUUAUUUACUUCUUGCUCAGGAGUGGAUUGAACCCACAAUAUUAUGCUUGUUCUCCAUCUCCUUUCGUUGUCUGUCGAGUGGCAGUCGCUAGUACACCACAGUUCAUCGAACGUUUGGCGUCGUUCCCUUCCGUUCUGGACUCCAUAUCCCAUCAUCCUCCUUGUUUCCACUCCUGCACUCACUUCCUCGUCAUCUCCCCAUCAUCACGGAUUACCGGCACCUGCUCCUGAUCAUCUGCAUCCCUUUAUAAUGGACUCACUCCCUUCACUCCUUGUCUGUUCUAUUGUUUGCUAAAGUGUGUUUUGGUUGUGUUCCUUCGCCUUCGUUGAAUAAAUACCCUGUUUUGUAGACAUCCGUUCAUGCUUCGUCUCUUCUGCAACCGACACCAUAACAGUCUGAUUAUCAAUUAAAAAUAAAAACGGAUUUUUUUUUUUUUUUUUU